AGAGUUUGAUCAUGGCUCAGAGCGAACGCUGGCGGCAGGCCUAACACAUGCAAGUCGAACGAACUCUUCGGAGUUAGUGGCGGACGGGUGAGUAACACGUGGGAACGUGCCUUUUGGUUCGGAAUAACUCAGGGAAACUUGUGCUAAUACCGAAUGUGCCCUUCGGGGGAAAGAUUUAUCGCCAUUAGAGCGGCCCGCGUCUGAUUAGCUAGUUGGUGAGGUAACGGCUCACCAAGGCGACGAUCAGUAGCUGGUCUGAGAGGAUGAUCAGCCACACUGGGACUGAGACACGGCCCAGACUCCUACGGGAGGCAGCAGUGGGGAAUCUUGCGCAAUGGGCGAAAGCCUGACGCAGCCAUGCCGCGUGAAUGAUGAAGGUCUUAGGAUUGUAAAAUUCUUUCACCGGGGACGAUAAUGACGGUACCCGGAGAAGAAGCCCCGGCUAACUUCGUGCCAGCAGCCGCGGUAAUACGAAGGGGGCUAGCGUUGCUCGGAAUUACUGGGCGUAAAGGGCGCGUAGGCGGAUCGUUAAGUCAGGGGUGAAAUCCCGGGGCUCAACCUCGGAAUCGCCCUUGAUACUGGCGAUCUUGAGUAUGAGAGAGGUAUGUGGAACUCCGAGUGUAGAGGUGAAAUUCGUAGAUAUUCGGAAGAACACCAGUGGCGAAGGCGACAUACUGGCUCAUUACUGACGC
This 692-nucleotide ribosomal RNA is filed under the name uncultured bacterium. Its description in RNAcentral is "bacterial SSU rRNA". It matches the Rfam family "Bacterial small subunit ribosomal RNA", at positions 8 to 746 of the family's 1533-position model. The record is from RNAcentral.